UAUAGAUUUGCAUUUAAACUAUUUUGAAAUACAAAAUUCCUUUUUUGGGGGGGGGGGGGGAAGGGGGAGGGUAACGGAGUUUCCCUGUGUAGCCCUGGCUGUCCUGGAACUCACUCUGUAGACAAGGCUGGCAUCGAACUCAGAGACCCACCUGCCUUGGACUCCCUAAGUGCUAGGAUUAAAGGCAUGUGCCACCACCGCCCAGCAGGAAGUACAAAAUAUUUAAUUUGUGAAGAAGACUGCAAAUAUCUUUCCCUUAAACUACACAACACUAUUCUAGAAUCAAUCCAUUCAGAGUCUAAACUGGAUUAUUAUACAAGGCAGGCAUUAAGUAUACAUGAUACUAAUGUUUCAAUUAUACUUCCUUAGGGAAACAAAUUAAGUAAAAGCUCCAACAAGAGGGAGGCCUACAACAGGACACUACAGGACCCCAAACACAAGUAUUUCUUCAGGAUGAAGUCUGCACUUCAGCAGCUGAGGCGGGAGGAGGAGCAAGCACACGUUCACAGCCAGCCUGGGAUAUCUAGUGAGUACAGUACCAUCAACAAAAAACAGUCACCACCUCUUGCUUGUGACAAGGACAUCCAUCAUGUUUGACAUCAAUAUAUUGAUGGCAAGAGUAUCUUCUACACAAAUGAAAGGGUUCUGAAGAAAGGGAGGAAAAGCUCACAAUAUGAACUGGGAUGUAUUUGUUGAUGAAAAUAAUUAAAAAAUAAAAUGAACACACGAAGCAAUCAAACCGCUCCCCGUUAGGAGUAUCUCUAAAGCGCAGGUAUGAAGGCUGUCUUUGCAAACAUGAGAGCCCUUCUCAAGUGUAAAAGGAAAAACAAACAAUCUCUCAAAUGGACUACAGUCUAACAUUUGAAGGUAAAAGAUUCAUUUACAACAUUCAGUACCACUGUUCUUGUUUACUAACACGAACUAACAAGUAAAGGAUGUUAGUAAACAAUCAGUCAUCUGUGUAACAGGAGCAACCCACAGACCAGGAGGAUCCACAAAGUUCACACACAACUGUAAUUCUACCUAUAAAAAUCUAAAAGAUAUGCAAUUAAGAGCAAGCUUUGUUGCCACCAGCUGUAUUUGUUAACCCUGUCUUUAUUAUUUGAUGUACAGGCCACUAUUUGUAACUGAAGAAUAAGUAUUUCCUAUCCUUGUUUUCCAAUCCAUUUCGACUGUAUCAGAGACAGAUACAACUAUUCUUUUGAAACCAGGUAUUUCCUCAGAAACUUACAGCACAAUUCCUGUCUAGAAUUCCUACCAAUAUCUAUUUAAUGAUAAUAUAACAGUGUAAUUAGAAAAAAAAAUCACUCGCACAUAGUUAGUAGUAAUGUUUUUAAGAUUGCUGCCUGUGUCUUAAGCUCCCCUCUUUAGUCUCUAUUUAGGGCUCAGAAGCCAUUAGACCUAACCCAGGAUCCACAUAUGCUCACGUACAGAGCACCACCAGUUAAUGACUUACGGUACAAAGAUGUUUCCAAGGCUACAGAGAUGGCUCUCAGGUCAAGAGCACAGGUUGCUCUUCCAGAGAACUAAGCACCCCAGCGCCCACAUGGAAGCUCACAACCUCCAAUUCCAGGUCCAGAGGAUCCAAUGCUAUUUCCUGGCCUCCACAGGAACCAGACACACACAUAGUGCACCAAAAUCCAGGCAGGAAAACACCCAUACACAUAAAAGUAAAUAAGUAUUUUUUCCCUAAAGAUAUUUCUUCUCCAAUGUGUAAGAGAAAUCUUUCCUAUGGACUUUAUUAAAGGGUAUCAGAAUGAACAAUAGAAAUAUCACACCACUGAUGAAACUUUUUGACACAUUUUCUUCAACCAUUUAUUUACUUUUAAAUUGAUUGCACUAGAUGCUAUCUGUUUCUAUUCUUUUUACUAGGAAUUUUAACCAAUAUGCUUUUAACUACAGAUGAUGGUAACGGUUUAGAAUGUGAAACUCUAUAAUAUUGAUUGUAAAAAUUGUGAAUAUUUUUAAGAACACUUGAAAGCAAUUCUUAAUUAUGUGAUACUAAAACAGGUAUUUUUGAAUUUUUUUAAAAAAUGAAUUUUAUAAAGGCUUUUGAUAGUAUAAAUCUUCUUUACUGGGCCAAACAAGAUGGUACUAAACUUCCUUUAGGAAUUUAACAAUAGUAUUUGCUUAAAAUAAGCAUCAUCCUUUAAUUGUAAAUAUCUUAUUGACAAUUUACCUAAAAUGUGUUGGUUUGAAAUUAAGAUCUGUUACCAAAAAUUAUCUAACAACACUGCUUCCUUUAUACAGGAAGAACCUUUAAGACCUUUGUUUUUAUUAACAAAUUCAAAACACCUGACUAGUGAAGAAAACUGGGAAGGAAGAAAAUGAGACACACAUAAAUACAUGCUAACCUUUGAUUUCUCACAUGCCAACACCAUAAAUGUAUUUUUGGAUACAGAGAUUAAUUCAGAUUGUAGGUGAGUCACAGAUUAUAUACAUCAAUAAAUAUAUUGUAAAUAUACUCAAAUUUGUUGACAAUUUCAGCUCAUAAAGUAAAUUUAUGUAAAAAUUAUUUGGGAAAGGCAGCCAAAUUCCAACUAAAAAGGCAGAAGAUAUGAAGAUAUGCCAAAACACUAAGUAAAGCAAAAAUACUGUAGCUGUCUAUAGAAUGUACUAAGAAACAUUCUACGUGUAUAGGUAUUUAAAAUAUAUUAAUUAUAAAACAUAUUUUCAUUUUAAUGGAGUUAACUAUAAUUAAAUUAAUUAUAAUUAAAAGUAUACAUAUAUGAUAUUGUAACAAUCAUAUGAAAUCCUCUAACAUGCAAACCCAACUAAUUCUUUAAGGUGACCAAGACUAAUGACAAUUGCACUAAAUAAUGGGGAGAAAAAUGUCAAAUUUCAUUCAAGAAGUAGAUGUUAAAAUUCUUUGACUUGUGAAAAUGUCCUACAUUAAAUAAUUUUUCUGGAUGGACAAAUCAAUCCUACUUACUUAAUAAACUAUGUUAAUAGUCAAUAUUAACAGAAUUUUCAAACAAAUGGGAGUUAAAGUACCUGGUCGGAAACUAAAUAUCUGUCACCAAGUAAGGAGUUUUACUAAGCAUCACAAAGUGGGGUAGUGAACUCUCAUUCUGGCCACUAUCUUAGAACAUCACUUGGAAACGUGCAUACUCAGUAGUGAUAUGAAAAGAGAAUAUACAUGCCAUUUAAAAAUAAUUUUAUGAACUUAACUUCAAAAGUACUUUCGAAUUGUUGAAGCUAUUUUCUGGAAUGUUAAAAAAUCUGAAUACUGAACAUCAAAAGAAAUAUGGAUUAAAACAAUUGCUGACCA
This is a long non-coding RNA of Peromyscus californicus insignis, 3271 nucleotides long. RefSeq lists it as uncharacterized. The record is from RefSeq and is a predicted model, not a curated record. Lineage: Eukaryota; Metazoa; Chordata; Mammalia; Rodentia; Cricetidae. The transcript is spliced from 2 exons.